AUACGUAGGGUGCAAGCGUUAAUCGGAAUUACUGGGCGUAAAGCGUGCGCAGGCGGUUUUGUAAGACAGAGGUGAAAUCCCCGGGCUCAACCUGGGAACUGCCUUUGAUCCUGCAAAGCUAGAGUACGGCAGAGGGGGAUGGAAUUCCCGGCUAAGCAGUGGAAGGCGUAGAUAUGCGGAGGAACACCGAUGGCGAAGGCAAUCCCCUGGGCCUGUACUGACGCUCAUGCACGAAAGCGUGGGGAGCAAACAGGAUUAGAUACCCUGGUAGUCCACGCCCUAAACGAUGUCAACUGGUUGUUGGGUCUUCAUUGACUCAGUAACGAAGCUAACGCGUGAAGUUGACCGCCUGGGGAGUACGGCCGCAAGGUUGAAACUCAAAUGAAUUGACGGGG
Molecule: ribosomal RNA, 395 nt
Filed under: uncultured bacterium
Lineage: Bacteria
Description: partial 16S ribosomal RNA
Rfam family: Bacterial small subunit ribosomal RNA
Source: RNAcentral